ACAUGUAUUUUAAAUUUAUGUAAAUGGCUUUGUACUAUGGCUCACUAUUUCUUUUUUAUGAAGUACUGUGGUUCUAAGACCUAGCCAUGGUGCCGGAUUGAGUUUGUUGCUUCUAACUGAUACAAACUCUUCCAUUAGGUGCAUCCCCCACAUUUUACCUAUUCAAUCCCUCAUUGACGGGUGAAUAGAUUGCUUCCAAUUCACCACUUCUUAAAGAAAAAACAUGCAACGAGCACUCUUGCACAUGUCUCUUUGGACAAGUGUGAGAAUAUCCCUUGGAUGCAGGCUCAGGAGGAAAAUAAUUGGGUAAUAAGGCACAUGUAAUCUUAAUUUUACUUAGUACUGCCAGGCUGGGGUCCAGAAUGGUUGCACCAGUCUGUUCUGCCACUGGUACUGUAUGAGAGUCCUUAUACUCCUAUAUCCCCAACAACACUGAGCAAUAAUGAGCUUUCUAAUUUUUGCCAGUAUGAAGAGUGAAAAGUGAUGUAGCUCAAUAUCAAUGAUACAGUAACACAGUGGAAAUGCGCAGACGGAGGCUGUGUGCUCAUUGGCUCAGACCUCUCCUUCAGGCCUCACACCUCCUCAGUUGUUAAAUUCUGUCAAUUUAUUGCUGCAUAUCUCCCAAACUCAUUCCCUCUUUUUCUUUGUCAUGAUCUGGGAAAAAAUUUUUCCCUUUCACUGUAGCAAUUGCUUCCUAAUUUGUUUCUUUCUGUCCAGCUUCCACCCUAUCAAUACAUUCUAUAUGCGCUACCAAACUAAUAUUCAGAAGCGUGGCCUUUUGAGACGAGAAUGAGGGUGUUAUGAAUGAAUAAUGGUGAGGAUUGUUAACCUAAAACUCUGAUUCAGGGGUUAACAAAGAUUUUCCUUCUAGCAAGGAUCUCUAAACGCACUGAAAUGUCAAUCAAUUAAAGAUAUUAUUCCUAUAUAACUCUCCGUAGGGGAAUUUCUACAAGGUGAUUAUCACUUCCAGAUAGAGAGAAAACUGGAAAUCAUUAAAGAGUUUAGAAUAUCUGAGUUCGGAAUCCAUUCUUUUGAGUCAAAGAAGUCGAUAAAACCUUCUCAUCGUUACCAGAUGCCUCCUUCCUUUUGUGUUUCUAAACCUGGCUUCAUCACAUUAGUUAGGAUUCUUUAAUUACAAUUUAUGAAAACCAAUUCAAACUAAUUAAGCUGUAAAAGAACUAGGAAAUGGAAGGGAGGGUGUAAAUUAUUAUAAAAAUGCGGAUGUGUCUCACAGGACCCAAGGGGGAAGUGCAGUCAGACCUCAGGAGGGAAUUUGAAAGCUGUAAGUAUAAACUCUGCAAGACCUCGCCACUCAUUUCUCUCAGCAGUCUAGCUUUCUGUAUUUCUCAGACUGUGUGGCGGACUAUCGCUGCCUCACAGAUCCCAAAUUUAAAUGCUGUAGAUGCCACCACCCACAGAGACCAACUUAAUUCUCUUUUGGCCUCAGGAUUAUCUCACUUUGCCAAACAUCUUGGAUUUCUGUCGCCCAAGAGGACUGAUGAUACAGAAAUUGAUAGCAGAAAUGAAGUGUUGCUAGUGACAGACUUAAAAGUCUUGGAACUGCUGGGGGGCGGUGGGGGCCUUCCUUACUUAGUCCAGGAGUUGUUGGAUCAUGGGAGACAAUCUCCAGACCUGAUGCAGGUUGUACCCAGAGAUUCCGGACUGGGAGCUGGAUGCAGAAGUUCCAUGUGACUGGAUCAUCACCCACUAGUGAGUUUGAGGUGGUAUGUGGAUUAUGCUCAUGGGGGCAUUUGGGAUUGUCUAUAUGAGAAGACAGGCACGUAUGCUGAGCAGCUAAGAGAUGGGCUGGAUAAACAUGAUUGUUUCUUUUUCACCAACAUUCCUCACUUGAGAAGAUUGAUGGGCCACACCUUGAAGAAGUGGCAUAUAUCACUUCUGCCUAAAUUCCGUCAGCUAGACCUCAGUCAUAUAGCCAAAGCCACCUGCCAGGGAGGUCGGGACAUGUACUCCAGAUGUCUUCCAGGAAGAAGAGGAAAGAAGUUGAUGAGCAUCUGACCACUCUCUGCCUCUAAGGCCUUCUACUUCUACAAAAUGGCCUCAAAACCAUUUAAAUUCUAAAAAGUUGCUCCGUUCUCCCCUCUUCUCUGCAUCCUUUCCAUUCUUCUGGGCGGCAGAGUAUCCCAGGAUAGUGUCAGCAGAGCCCAGGCGUGUGAGGUACGUGAAUUAGCUGUACGUGGCGGGUAGGGUAGUGCUUUGUUGCCGAAGGAGGGGAAAACGGUAGGUGCCUGGGGGAGAGAAAAAACAAAAAUAAAGAAAUAAAGAACUACAUUGUGUUUAUUCCCCAACUACAUGAAGGAAUCUCUCCUCUCAGCCUAUCAAAGAAUCGAACUUCUAAGCUCAGAAAUUGAGAAGAAGCUUUCUUUUCUAAACUUGAGGCACCAAGCACCUACUUUACUGCAGUCUCAAAAUGAUGGUGGGAGGAAGAGAUAAAAAGUUCAGAGGAAAUAUUCUACUCACAGUUCAGAGCGCCUAACCUCAGCUGAGGCCUGCUUGAGAGUCCCUGUCAGCUGUCUUGGAGCCAACAUCUGUAGGCUGCGUAUCUGUGAGUCAAAAACGGUAUAAAAAUUAGAUGAAUAGAGGUCAAGGUCAAGAGUUCAGAAUUUAUCAUUCAGUCAACACUAGAACCAGAUCAAAAAAAAGACAAUAAUGUAAAUAUGUCAAUUUCAACCAUAACCUUAGCACCUCAACACAGUAUUUUUUUUCCUGUGUUUCUUUUUAGUCUUUAUACCCACAUAUAAAUACAUUCUUUUUUUAAUAUAUUCAUCGUUUUAAGAAAAUACAUGAUAACUACUGCCGCAGUCAAACGGAGCUUAAGGUGACACGACAGCUGAAUGUAAUGUGGUAUUCUGGAUGGGAUUUUGGAACAGAAAAGGACAUCAGGCAAAAACCUAAGGAAAUCUGAAUAAAGUAUAGACUCUGGUUAAUAAUAAUUGAUUCAUUAAUUGUAACAAAUGUACCAUACUGAUGUAAGAUAUCAAUAAUAUAGGAAACCGGGUGUGGGGUAUGUGGGGACUCUCUCUACUGUCUUCUCAAUUCUUCUGUAAAUCUAAAACUGUUCUAAAAAAUAAAGUCUAUUUUUAAAAAGACAACAUUAUUAUUCUAUCCAGUGACUGUUUUUCUAGUGUUAGACAUUCAUUCUAUUUCUGAUUUUCCACUAUUAAAAAUAAUGUUCUAUAAACAUCCUGUGCAAUGACCUUUUAAAUGAAUUCAGAAGCAGAGUCAGCUCCAGAUAGAACUGAAAGGUGGGUAAACUCUAACGAUGACUCCUUCCCCUUUCCCAAACAUUCAACAACAGCUUUCCUCUAUUUUUCAGCCUCUUAGACCCCCCAUCUCCCUACAGCUUACAGUACUUACUGCUACCUGCAUAAUGAGUGUUCUUCUAGUCUCUAGAACGAAUCCUGACCUGAGCAAAAGAUAUUUAAAGAGUUCUAACCCAAUACUCAUCGAUCCAGCAAACAUGGAUCAAGCACCCACAAUGUGACAAGUAACGGCAGUAAACAACAGGAGCUCUCUGUGGCAAAUAUCCACUUUAUUUAGAGUAAGAAUAUUUCAUAAAGUUCUGUUUGUGGCCAUCUAAACUUGUGGGUUAGCAUUUAAAAAGGCGAAGCCAGUUUCAUCCUACAUAUAGGAAUGUUUUCUUUCUCUUUCUUGAUAUAGAGACAAGGCCCAGGAUCUAAAUAAUGAGUAUGUUUUGGCUCAGAAUGUAUCAAGGGGGAAAAGCCAUUUUGUAUUGAUCAAUAUGAUACAGUCAGAAGUAUAUUCUAAGUUAUUAAACAUGUGCCCCUAAGCAAAAUUAAAUCAUUGAGACAAAUGAGUAUCAGACCAUAACUAAAUCUUAAGAGAAAUAAGCCAAUGAAUGAUAAGUUCACCUCUUCUGAUGGGAAAGCUUUGGGAAAGAGAGCCCAGUGAGAGGUAGAUUCAACUGAAAUGCUCAGGCGCGGUGGGGGUGGGAUGGAAGAGUGGCAUGGAGUGGAAUAGAGAGGGUUCAGUAAAACAUCUGGGCAUGGAUAACAUUCUUGGGCCAAUGUGAUUUAUGUUGCAUCCAUCCCAUUAGGAAGAUCCUUUCAUCUUAACCAUUUUCUAUGGGUUUCCCUAGGACAGGGAAAGUGGAGACCUGCAGAGCUGAGCUGCAGCCCAGAGCAGCCGCUACCAGCAUGUCCAUGAAGAAGAGCUAAGAUUCUGGGGAAAAAACUGAUUCCAUCUCUUGAAGUGAGAAACAUUCCAAAGUGAGCUGGAGCAUCCUGUCUUCAGUUAAGAAGAAAAAGUGUUUUCCCCAGAAGCCUGUAGAACGGCCUCCAACCCUACUCCAGAGGUAGGUGACCACAGCAACUGCACUGAUCCCUCACUUUCUGUCUCCUCCUAAACCCCACUCCAAUAUCCCCAGUCACCUCAUUACAAACUAAAUGAAGCUGGAGUCCUCUGUCCCCCAACCCAAGAGCCAGAUGCUCAGGGCCAAGGUAGGGUACCUGGAACCUGACAUAAAUCCGUACUUUCUGCGAAGACCCAAAGGAAGACAUCCUGAGUGGAAGAACUUUUAAAAUGUCAGCAAUGUGACCCAGAGGUUUUUGAAUUGGUUAUUGAAAACCUAGAAUUCCCUCUGAGUCCUGCCUGAUUCUUGUGGAUGUUCUCAUGCUCCCCCACUACUUCCCACUCAGCCAGACAUCGAUCAUUUAACCUCUGGGUACUCCCUACCAAAUGCUGAUGGUGAUUCAGCUCUGCCUUGCACCCCUCCUGGAUAUUAUUUGUUCCCUCAAUUAUUCUCUCAACAUUAUUGAGAGAAUCAGUGGGUACUCUGCAAUCAUGUAGUGCUAAGUAAACCAAAGGGCCCUGGGAAGUGUCUGCAGCAAUACCAUUGGAGCUCAGCACGAGCAGAUGCCCUCUGUCUUGUGACCCGCCUGGUCGUGGGAACUCAGGGACCGCUCCUCCUGCUGUGACCAACCCUGAGCUGGGAGGCAGAAGUAUUCUAAGAAUACAGGGAGGGUGAAGCUACUAUAGCGAAUGGAGUGGAUGACAACACAGGGUGUCCUGGGCAUCUCUCAAAAUAAGAAGGUCAAAAUGCUUUGGCUAUUGAAUACUUUAAAAAUACUCGUUCCUUCAUUCAACAGCUAUUUGCUGAGUGCCUUACUAAGGGAUGAGGAAAUGAGAAACUCCACUUCUGCCCUCGAGA
Non-coding RNA from Equus caballus (horse), 5188 nucleotides. NCBI's taxonomy places the organism in Eukaryota, Metazoa, Chordata, Mammalia, Perissodactyla, Equidae. The record is from RefSeq and is a predicted model, not a curated record.